This is a long non-coding RNA of Ochotona curzoniae (black-lipped pika), 718 nucleotides long. RefSeq lists it as uncharacterized. The record is from RefSeq and is a predicted model, not a curated record. The transcript has 4 exons. NCBI's taxonomy places the organism in Eukaryota, Metazoa, Chordata, Mammalia, Lagomorpha, Ochotonidae.
AGCAAAAACAUGACUAUUGAAAUGACCUUAUGUUGAUAAUUUGCAAUUGGCAAUUAUAGGAGUCUUUGAGCCAUGGAAAUUGGCAAAUGCUAUAAAUCAUGGCUUUACUUUUUCAGAGAACCAUUUUCCCAGUAACACCACUGGUUUCUCCACAUACAUCCUACAAAAGAGGACCUCAAAAAGGAAAUCUCACAUUAAGUGAAACAUGAGACUGUCGACUAUUGAUCAUAAUAUGUAGGUGUCCAGAUGAUGGCUUACGAAUUUGGACUGGAUGUAUGGGCUGGUGGGAAAAGCCUGCCAAAAAUCUGUCCCUUCACUGUUGAUUUUGAUGGAAGACUGAACUUACAUUGGAAUGCAGAAAGUGUCUGAUCAUGUGUUUGAUGAAAGUGCCCAAAGUAAGAAACCCAAGAGCAAAACAAGGGGAAAUGCUUCCAGUGACAUGUAAUAUCCGUUGACCUGCUGGAACGCUGGAUGAUGAUCCUGGGUGAGGAAUAGCAAUUGAAAAAAGCGAAGAGGGAUGCAUGGAACAAGUCGACGGGAAAAUACAAAAAGAGAACAAUUGUCAACAUGUAAGCACUAGCACAUACCAUUAUAGUUGAGACUAUGCUCUGGAGACAGAAUACCUUAAUUCGCUAAAGAUUUUUAGCUGGUAAGUAGAGAGAAAAAAGACACUGGGAGUGAGCGCUCCCAUUUUCCGGUUUUCGUUCCUGAUGCCUGC